This 222-nucleotide long non-coding RNA is filed under the name Setaria italica (foxtail millet). RNAcentral describes it as "long non-coding RNA (SITA_LNC005792)". Lineage: Eukaryota; Viridiplantae; Streptophyta; Magnoliopsida; Poales; Poaceae. The record is from RNAcentral.
UUCGGUUGUGUGGCUAGUUAUCGAGUUAUCUUAGAAUGCAAGUAGAACUUUCCAGACUUUGUCCAAUAUUCUGCUUGUCUUCGAUAGUUUCUCACAAUUAUCGAGUUGUUUGGUUUUAUUAAGUUCUAUUGUAUCGAUCUCUUAGUUCUAUCAAGCGCUCACAGUUAUCGAACGAUUUAAAUCUAGUUAGGUUGUCUUCAUCGGCUCUCUUGCACUGUUUAA